This 745-nucleotide ribosomal RNA is filed under the name uncultured bacterium. RNAcentral's name for it is "bacterial SSU rRNA". It matches the Rfam family "Bacterial small subunit ribosomal RNA", at positions 33 to 773 of the family's 1533-position model. The record is from RNAcentral.
ACGCUGGCGGCAGGCCUAACACAUGCAAGUCGAGCGGUAGAGAGAAGCUUGCUUCUCUUGAGAGCGGCGGACGGGUGAGUAAUGCCUAGGAAUCUGCCUGGUAGUGGGGGAUAACGUUCGGAAACGGACGCUAAUACCGCAUACGUCCUACGGGAGAAAGCAGGGGACCUUCGGGCCUUGCGCUAUCAGAUGAGCCUAGGUCGGAUUAGCUAGUUGGUGAGGUAAUGGCUCACCAAGGCGACGAUCCGUAACUGGUCUGAGAGGAUGAUCAGUCACACUGGAACUGAGACACGGUCCAGACUCCUACGGGAGGCAGCAGUGGGGAAUAUUGGACAAUGGGCGAAAGCCUGAUCCAGCCAUGCCGCGUGUGUGAAGAAGGUCUUCGGAUUGUAAAGCACUUUAAGUUGGGAGGAAGGGUUGUAGAUUAAUACUCUGCAAUUUUGACGUUACCGUCAGAAUAAGCACCGGCUAACUCUGUGCCAGCAGCCGCGGUAAUACAGAGGGUGCAAGCGUUAAUCGGAAUUACUGGGCGUAAAGCGCGCGUAGGUGGUUUGUUAAGUUGGAUGUGAAAUCCCCGGGCUCAACCUGGGAACUGCAUUCAAAACUGACUGACUAGAGUAUGGUAGAGGGUGGUGGAAUUUCCUGUGUAGCGGUGAAAUGCGUAGAUAUAGGAAGGAACACCAGUGGCGGAGGCGACCACCUGGACUAAUACUGACACUGAGGUGCGAAAGCGUGGGGAGCAAAC